AUGUCGUGUUCGGAGCUGCGCCUGCGCCCCGCCACCCCCUUCUCCGGCGACCUUCCUGCGGACUCGCUGUACGAGGUCCUCCUCCGCCUCCCGGCCAAGGAGCUCUGCCGCCUCCGCGCCGUCUGCCCCGCCUGGCGCGCCCUCACCUCCGACCCGCUCUUCAUCGCGGCGCACAAGUCCCGCCACCGCACGGCGCCCCCGCUCCUCGCCAUGGCCUACCGCGACGACAGUGGGGUCAACGGCGUUGAGAUUUCGGAUUUGUCCGGCAAUGUGGUGAAGCGGAUACCAAGCGCCGGGUAUGAAAUUGUUCUGGUGGACGGGUUGUCAGGGGUUGCCAGUGGGCGGAUGUCAAGCAAGCACGAUACCAUCCGUGUUGCGCGCACGCGGCUUGACCUUGUUUGUUUCAACUGGAGCUUCUGCUCUGGGGACUUCUGGGUGCUGAACCCGGCCACCGGAGAUACCAUCACCUUGCCGAGGGGCUUCUCGGAGGAAUUGGCACAUGAGCUAGAAGCAAAGGGGAUAAAGGAAUGGUGCUGCGGAGUCAAGUCCUAUGCUUUUGGGCAGGUCUCCUCUACCAGAGAGUACAAGGCGCUCCGCGUCUCUGAAAUUGGUGACCGAAAGGUAUGUGAGGUUAUCACCUUUGAUGCCACCAAACAUGGAAGCUGGAGGAGAAAGCAGGACCCUCCGCCAUCCCUUAUCUCUCCCUGUCACAAGAUAUUGAGGAGAUGUGUGGUCGUUGAUGGGGUGGUGUACUUCUUGAUGGACUUUUCCUCCACAUACUUUGAAACUGGGGUUAUGACCAUUGAGCCUGGUAGCGUAGCUUCGUUCAACCUCGAGACAGAAGAGUGGCGUGUUCUACGUGGCCCAGAACAGGUGCAGAGGUUUGUGCAAGAGAACGAGGAUUCCGAUUACUUGAUACUUGAACUCGAGUUAUCAUUGGCUGAGUUGAACGGCUGCUUAGUUAUGGUUCAUAGUAUUCAUAAAGCAUCUAUGGACUUGUGGUUUUUGACAGAUUUUGAGAAAGAUACCUGGGUUAAGAAAUACAGCAUGCCUUCAUCACAUGUUGCUAGGUUUGGGUAUCCUUUUCUGAUGUUAGAUGAUGGGAGAAUUUUCUUUACUCGGUCGGAUUAUCUACAAUGUUUAGCUGGUGCUGAGGGAUUUCUGCAAGGUUAUAAUCCAAGAAAUGGCACUUAUGCUGAUGCUCUAAAACUGAGAGAUUCCGAAUCCAUUGGCAUUUACACGGGAAGCCUGCUGAGUUUAUAG
Molecule: ribosomal RNA, 1263 nt
Filed under: Triticum aestivum (bread wheat)
Lineage: Eukaryota; Viridiplantae; Streptophyta; Magnoliopsida; Poales; Poaceae
Description: partial small subunit ribosomal RNA
Source: RNAcentral